GCAUUUUGAACCUAAUUUGAAAUAAGUUGGGCCUAUUUCCUUAACCCUCCCUCUCAUCUCUUGUUCAUUCUUGUUCUUUUAAGGGCGAAAAAAAAUCUUCAGAUCUUUUAGUGUUCUUUCUUUAGGCUUACUCAGUUUUUUUCCCUCCCCUCCCAAACUCAUCUCCUGAAAAAUAAUUUUUUAUGAGUAUUUAUUGUGAUCACUAGCUUUCCAGUUAUUGUCAGUUGAAGCAGGCCCUGUCCUGGUUAUCCUGAGUGUUCCGUCACUUGUUUUUAUCCACUAUGGCAAAAAUGGAUUAUGUGAUCUUAUGGCCAUCACCCAAUUUAUUAGAACUUCCUAUCAUUUUUAGUAUGUAGCUUCCUGGAAUUUUUUUUUUCCCUGGUUCAGACCUGCUUGAGGCCUUAUUACAUCUAUAGUGCCAAAG
Molecule: long non-coding RNA, 424 nt
Filed under: Marmota monax (woodchuck)
Lineage: Eukaryota; Metazoa; Chordata; Mammalia; Rodentia; Sciuridae
Source: RNAcentral